CCCAAUGAAGUGAAAUCUAACAGCAUCAAUAUGCAUGGCAAAAUCGUGAUAAAUCAGAUUCUUUGCAAAAUGUACACCACUAUUAUAGUCAUACAAAGACUAACAAAACCCAUUAUCCAUUUGUCAACCAAAAAUCACUGAUUACUAUGCAACUAAUCUCCAGAAUCUAGCAGCUUGCAUUGUUGCUUUCCAAAAUCCACCUAACAACUACCAGCUAUAAAAUAUGAUAAAAAUCACCCUACAAGUAAAUAGAAA
Molecule: long non-coding RNA, 255 nt
Filed under: Arachis ipaensis
Lineage: Eukaryota; Viridiplantae; Streptophyta; Magnoliopsida; Fabales; Fabaceae
Description: long non-coding RNA (AIPA_LNC000059)
Source: RNAcentral